GAUGAACGCUGGCGGCGUGCCUAAUACAUGCCAGUCGAGCGAACGGACGAGAAGCUUGCUUCUCUGAUGUUAGCGGCGGACGGGUGAGUAACACGUGGAUAACCUACCUAUAAGACUGGGAUAACUUCGGGAAACCGUAGCUAAUACCGGAUAAUAUUUUGAACCGCAUGGUUCAAAAGUGAAAGACGGUCUUGCUGUCACUUAUAGAUGGAUCCGCGCUGCAUUAGCUAGUUGGUAAGGUAACGGCUUACCAAGGCAACGAUGCAUAGCCGACCUGAGAGGGUGAUCGGCCACACUGGAACUGAGACACGGUCCAGACUCCUACGGGAGGCAGCAGUAGGGAAUCUUACGCAAUGGGCGAAAGCCUGACGGAGCAACGCCGCGUGAGUGAUGAAGGUCUUCGGAUCGUAAAACUCUGUUAUUAGGGAAGAACAUAUGUGUAAGUAACUGUGCACAUCUUGACGGUACCUAAUCAGAAAGCCACGGCUAACUACGUG
Molecule: ribosomal RNA, 497 nt
Filed under: uncultured bacterium
Lineage: Bacteria
Description: partial 16S ribosomal RNA
Rfam family: Bacterial small subunit ribosomal RNA
Source: RNAcentral